RNAcentral lists this ribosomal RNA (253 nucleotides) under uncultured bacterium. RNAcentral describes it as "partial 16S ribosomal RNA". It matches the Rfam family "Bacterial small subunit ribosomal RNA", at positions 524 to 776 of the family's 1533-position model. The record is from RNAcentral.
UACGGAGGGUGCAAGCAUUAAUCGGAAUUAUUGGGCGUAAAGGGCGCGUAGGCGGAAGUAUAAGUCAGAUGUGAAAUUCCGAGGCUCAACUUCGGAACUGCAUUUGAAACUAUACAUCUAGAGGAUUGGCGGAGAAAACGGAAUUCCACGUGUAGCGGUGAAAUGCGUAGAUAUGUGGAAGAACACCGGUGGCGAAAGCGGUUUUCUAGCUAAUUCCUGACGCUGAGGCGCGAGAGCAAGGGGAGCAAACAGG